CUUGUUUUAUAGGUACAUCGGAGCAAAGGAAUUGUCGUUCCCAAGAGGUUGUACAAUCACCCCAUGGGCUUGAAAAGACAGACCACUUUUGUUCGUGAGGCGGCCGUUACCAUUUUUUAUACAGCAGGCCAAGUCGGUAGAAGUGUUACUGGUGCAGCCUCCAAUCGGUCUAAAGGGGAGGCGAAAUCUCCCUAGGAGAAAGAAACAUAUGCUGUGUUUUCAGAUUUCUUCAACCAUUUUUUGAAGCACACCGUUCUGAUUGGAAAGGUUGAACAAAUGAAGAAGCUCCUCAAUAAAGCUUUGGCAAACAAAAUUAUUGACUUUAUGAAAUCAAAAGAUUAACCAAGGAAUGGCACAUCAAAUAAAAUAUUUUGUUUGA
Molecule: long non-coding RNA, 379 nt
Filed under: Rhipicephalus microplus (southern cattle tick)
Lineage: Eukaryota; Metazoa; Arthropoda; Arachnida; Ixodida; Ixodidae
Description: uncharacterized LOC119167624
Source: RNAcentral